RNAcentral lists this long non-coding RNA (1157 nucleotides) under Fukomys damarensis (Damara mole-rat). RNAcentral's name for it is "lncRNA (ENSFDAG00000026979.1)". The record is from RNAcentral. Lineage: Eukaryota; Metazoa; Chordata; Mammalia; Rodentia; Bathyergidae.
CUUCUUUUCUUCCUCCUCCUCUUUCCCCUCCUCCUCCCCCGCCAGCCACCGCCUCCUCCUCUACCAGCACCACUCCCUCUGGGGCACCGGGGUCCCUGCAGAUUCCCCGGCCCUUGCCGCCUCCACCGCGGGCCCCCUGGACCCCAAGCCAGCUGCGCCGGAACUGGUAGGACACAAGGACAGACAGGCGUGCGGAUGCCUCUCCCUCAGCGCUCUGCCGCUGCGGCCCCGCGUCGGUGGAGCCGAGAUGGCCCCGGGAGUUCUGCGAGGCACUGAGAAGCCAACAUGAAUAAGCCCUUCCCUGGUCACUCACCAUGAGAGAAAGACAAGAAGCAGCCUUCCUCUGCUGGCUUUAGUCAUGAGAGACUGAGAAAGCAAAAUACCAUCUGCAAAAGUGAAAAGAACUUUGAGCAGUGGUGCACUGGGAAUGGAGUAGCCCCUGUCUAUUAGGCAGUUUCUUUGGAAAGCUGGCUGGCUGGGAAAAUUUGAUGACAACUCUUUCCAACCAGGGUCACCACUCAAGCCAUGCUUAGAUAUGGACAUUUCCUCAAGCUCCUCGUAGAGACUUUUCACACCCAUUCAUCAAAUACUUCCGGCCUUCCACUUUCUGUCUGUGCAAGGACUCUACCUCCUGCCUAUAAAUUUAAAUACAGCACAAGCCUGCUAGAGACACUGAAAUGUGUGUGGAAGUCACCCAUCCAACAGGAAGUUCAGGCUGGUGUGCAACCAUCUUGUCAUGACUGUGGAUAUGGGUGCCGCGAUGAAGCCACAAUGGAGCCCAGUCACUGUGACACACGGAGCUGCCAUGGAUGGUGCUAUGGUUUGAAUGUGGCUUGUCUCCCUCAAGACUCAUGGGAAAUGUGAUGUCAUCAUGGCCGCAUUGGGAGGCAGGGUCUUCAGGGAUGGUCAGUUGGUCAAGGAUUUGUGCCUUUCUUGUAAGAGUGGGUUAAUUCUAAUCGGAGGGGUGGUUAGUUAUUGGGAGAGUAGGGUACUACAAAAGUGAGUUUGCCUUCUUUGGCUCUUUCCUGCUUCCUCCUUCACCAUGUGAUUCCUCCUGCCCUUUCUCCGUGGUGUGCUGCAGCAGGAGACCCUCACCAGAAGCCAAGCCAGUGCCAGCACCAUGGCCUUGGGCUUCCAGCCUCCAGGAUAAUAAAGCA